This 272-nucleotide long non-coding RNA is filed under the name Hordeum vulgare. Its description in RNAcentral is "long non-coding RNA (HVUL_LNC011159)". Lineage: Eukaryota; Viridiplantae; Streptophyta; Magnoliopsida; Poales; Poaceae. The record is from RNAcentral.
GUCUUUUUUUAUUUUUCUCAUUUCUUCCUUAAUUUUUUUUCUUUUCUUUUUCCUUUCUUCCCUUUUCCUUUUUUCGGUUUCCUUUCUACCCUUUUCCUUUUUCUUGUUUUCCUUUCUUCCCAUUUCCUUUUUUCGUUUUUCCUUUCUUCCUUUUUUCUUUUUUUGUUUUUCCUUUCUUUCCUUUUCCUUUCUUUCGUUGUUUCUUUCUUUCCUUUUCCUUUUUUUGGUUUCCCUUUCUUCCCUUUUUUUUAUCAUUUUUCCUUCCAUCCUUG